AUGGAGCAGUUUGUAAGGAUGGGGGAUGAUGUUAGCAAUGCCAUGAGCAUGGCUGUUGAAAGGGUUGCCGUGGGACAUGAUGAUGCAGAUUUGCUGGUGGAGGUACAGCCCGGUGACCUGCCCCCUGCUGAUCUUUCUGCUAGAGCGCUCUCCUCUCUGUGUGAGCCACAAGAGUGGGGAGGUGUUGACAUGGUCAACUUCAGCAACCCCACCUUUGGCAUGAUACAGCUGUACUCCCCUGCCCGACAGUGGUCCUUGUUCUGCUUCAACCAGAACGCAGCUUGGCCAUACAACUCUCUGCUGGAUGAUACAACACAGGCUGCCGGAGGUGCGCCCUUCUUUGCUGCUGCACCAGACAGCUUUGCGUCACCACUGCAAGGAGCAGCGUCCGACCCAUACUCCUUGCCUCCUCUGCCGCCUUCCUUGGGGUAUGGACCGCAAGCACACUGGCCGGACCACGACAGUAAUCUACUACAGCAUGUGCUUCCUGGUGAGGCGAUGAGCUGGUUCUCUCAAGCGGUUGGUCCUGAGAUUCUAUUUGGGCCAGGGGCUCAAAACAUACCCAGUGCAGGAGGUUUGGGCCAGGAGGUCCAGCUGCAGGGCAUAGACGCUGGACUGUGGUGCACCCCAGUACAGUCAUCGGAAGAGCAAAGGGCUAGGCGCGCCUUGGCGGAGGCCAACCUCUCUGGGCCUGGCUUGGUGGCUGCAAUCACGGCAAAGGUGGCUGAUCUACAAGUGGAUGAGCAGCGAGCCUUUGUUAGCAAGAUUGCAUCUUUUCUCUCAGCCUCAGUUCUUGGCUCCCCUCCAGUUCUGGCUGCUGGAACACAAAGGUCGUCCUUACAUCAGAAGCUUCUAAGAAUUGGCAAGGGCACCCGUCUCCUCAAGCUGCGCUCCAACUUCUCCACUUCCAAGCGCACUCAGGUUGCCAUCUGCGUCAAGCUUAGCAUCAUCAAGAAGGUGGAGGAGUUCUCCGACGACACACUGCUGGCCUACAUCGAGUUCUUCCGUGCGCCCAUGUCCCCGGAGAAUGUGAACAAGCUCGCGGAGAUCGCGGGGCUGUCCUCAUCAGCGCAGCUUCGGCUCCCUGAUGAGGAGUUGCAGGCCAUCCUGGAGGAGCUCUCGAGGAGGGCUCCUGUUGUGCCCCGUGCUUGA
RNAcentral lists this ribosomal RNA (1152 nucleotides) under Triticum aestivum (bread wheat). RNAcentral's name for it is "partial small subunit ribosomal RNA". The record is from RNAcentral. Lineage: Eukaryota; Viridiplantae; Streptophyta; Magnoliopsida; Poales; Poaceae.